GGGACCAAAUUGGCUAACAUUCUUCGGUUCUUUAACAAGUUACACUCUUUAAAUCUUUACAAUCGGAUUUAUUUAAUGUUACAUCUAUAGUUCAGUUAAUAUAUAUUGUAUUCCAUUGCAUCUUUUGAGUCACACAGCAACAUUGUAAGACAAGAACUUGUGAUCAGAGCCAUAAUUGCAAAAAUGUAUAAACAAAUGAAAAUAAUUAGAAACUUUGUUUUAAGCCCUCUAAAAACAGACCCCUUAUUG
RNAcentral lists this long non-coding RNA (249 nucleotides) under Trifolium pratense (red clover). RNAcentral describes it as "long non-coding RNA (TPRA_LNC013685)". Lineage: Eukaryota; Viridiplantae; Streptophyta; Magnoliopsida; Fabales; Fabaceae. The record is from RNAcentral.